CUCUCUUCUCCACCAGCCCCUGUGUGUCUUCAGCAUCAGAUGUCAUCCUGCCAGAGACAAAUGAGAGUCAGGAAGCUUGGUUUACCCCAGACAAGGACGAGAAACAGAAAGAGGGAGAUGAGGAGGAGAAGGAAGGGAUGCACUGACACAGAUCUUCUGGGAUGGAGCCUGGUAUGGAUCAGUGGGAUUUUCACCAUGCCCUCAAGUCCCUCAUACUAGGUUACUUCCACCACAACGGAGACGGCUAAACACACCCUCUGCCCACUCCCAAACCACACACACUCAUACACACCCUGAGGGUGAACCCAAUAGGUCCACUGCGUGUGAGUCGUAGCAUCUCCCCUCACGACUCCCCACCUCAGCGUAUUUCUUUAUCCUGCCUCUGGGGCUGAAAAAUGGACAAAGCUCUCUUUCCCCUUUUUUAUCUGGUCCUUAUAACCUCAUGUGUCCAAAGGAUAACCCACAAAUAUAAGCAUGUUAACUGUCACUGAGAAGAUGGUGGGCAGCUUACCUACUGCUGGCACCAUCUCUGAGUUUUUCUCUGAGUCAAAGUGAUGAUGAGGUUUAACGACAGUCUAUUGGGUCUGGCGUCAAGGUAGGCCAAGGUGUUACAGAGAGUUUGAAUGCAUCACAUCUCCAAGGACUGCAUUCAGC
Long non-coding RNA from Etheostoma cragini (Arkansas darter), 654 nucleotides. RefSeq lists it as uncharacterized. NCBI's taxonomy places the organism in Eukaryota, Metazoa, Chordata, Actinopteri, Perciformes, Percidae. The record is from RefSeq and is a predicted model, not a curated record. The transcript has 3 exons.